Molecule: unclassified non-coding RNA, 1601 nt
Filed under: Daphnia pulicaria
Lineage: Eukaryota; Metazoa; Arthropoda; Branchiopoda; Diplostraca; Daphniidae
Description: luc7-like protein 3, transcript variant X1
Source: RNAcentral
UUCGAUUCAGAAAACAUUAAAUCUUGCAACGCCCCAAAUUCAUUCAGUCAAAAACAAAAUGGCUUCCAUGGCUGCGCAACUUCUCGAUGAAUUAAUGGGGCGAAAUAGAAAUGCCCUUCCAACAGAUCGAACGAAAGAAUUAUCUUACAAUGACGCUGAGGUGUGUAGGUACUAUAUGGUUAGGUUUUGCCCACAUGAUUUGUUCCAUAACACGAAAGCAGAUUUAGGUCCGUGUCCAAAUCUUCAUGACGAAGCUGUGAGACAGAAAUACCUUAACGAGGCACCUUCAUACACAAAGACAAAAUUUGAGGAUGAGUUUCUCAAGUACUGUCGAUCUAUGCUAAAUGAAGUUGAGCGCAAAAUUCAAAAGGGUGAACAACGACUAGCCCAAUCACAAUUGGCCAAACAAGAAGCUGGUGCUAAUCCCAAAUCUAAAGCAGAAGAACAGAUUGCUUUGCUAACUGACAAGAUUAGUCAUCUGGUGAAGGAAGCUGAACGUCUAGGAUUUGAAGGCAACAUUGAACAAGCUCAAGGACUGUUGAAACUUAGUGACCAAUUCAAGAGUGAACGAGAAGCUCUAAAGAAAGGGGAAGGCCUUUCAUUUGCAACAGAACUGAUGCUAGAAAAACAAAUGGAAGUCUGCAAAGUCUGUGGUGCUUUUUUAAUUGUUGGUGAUGCCCCAGCUCGACUUGAUGAUCACAUGCAAGGAAAACAACACGUUGGUUACCAGAAACUGCGUUCGGCAGUAGACGAGAUUACGGAGAGUCGCGAGAAGGCUCGCCAGGAUCGAGAAAUGCAACGUCAGAAAGAAGCUGAAGACCGACGCGGCCGGCGCCACGACGACGAUUCACGACGUCAUCAUGGAAAAGAGCGCGAAAGUGGUAGCCGCAAGCGCUCUCGUUCCCGCUCCCCCAAACAUCGCACCUCAAGUCACCACAGCGAUCGACGGGAUAGAGGCGAAAGGAGCGACCGCGGUCGAGGCGAGCACGAUCGCCACCGAGAUAAAGAUCGGGGUCAUAGCAGAGAUCACCGAGACAGAAAGCGAGACGAUAGACCGCGCGAUCGAGAUCGCUCAGCACACAACGGUUCAAAGGAAAAUGGGGCAGGGAUUCAAUAGUUAUAACAGUGUAGGAGAAGGAGCAGCAGUACGAAGUCAAAAAAGUCAUCUAAGAUGAGGUAGCUUCAUCGUAUUUCAGGUCCGGACUAAAAAAAAAAUGUUGAAGCCUUGUUGUCAGACGCUCAUUUACGGAUCCCUUUGGGCGUCUCAGUUUGUUCUCUUCGCCUCAAGUCGCUGCUGCUGUCAAGCAAGGUGACACGUUAUUUGUAUUCCUUUUUUUUUCUUGUUUUUCUUCCUCGAAAUUAUUUUCGUGCUCCCACGAUUUUGAACUUUUUCAUCAUCAUCAAAACCAUUCAUUUCUUUUGUCCCUUUACAGUUCUUUUUUUCAUUUUUAUUUUGGAAUGUUGGUAUCUUUCUUUACGUAUCCUAUGAUUGCAUUAUACCACUACACAUUCCUUAGUUUGAAUUAAAAACUUGCUGCUGUGUGACAGAUAAUGCAUUAGUGUGAAGUUGCUUGGAAAUACAUGUUAGUCUUCAACAAGAA